RNAcentral lists this ribosomal RNA (438 nucleotides) under uncultured Flavobacterium sp. Its description in RNAcentral is "bacterial SSU rRNA". It matches the Rfam family "Bacterial small subunit ribosomal RNA", at positions 28 to 469 of the family's 1533-position model. Lineage: Bacteria; Pseudomonadati; Bacteroidota; Flavobacteriia; Flavobacteriales; Flavobacteriaceae. The record is from RNAcentral.
GAUGAACGCUAGCGGCAGGCUUAACACAUGCAAGUCGAGGGGUAUAGUAGCAAUACUAGAGACCGACGCACGGGUGCGUAACGCGUAUGCAAUCUACCUUUCACAGAGGGAUAGCCCAGAGAAAUUUGGAUUAAUACCUCAUAGUAUUAUAGAGUGGCAUCAUUUUAUAAUUAAAGUCACAACGGUGAAAGAUGAGCAUGCGUCCCAUUAGCUAGUUGGUAAGGUAACGGCUUACCAAGGCAACGAUGGGUAGGGGUCCUGAGAGGGAGAUCCCCCACACUGGUACUGAGACACGGACCAGACUCCUACGGGAGGCAGCAGUGAGGAAUAUUGGGCAAUGGGCGAUAGCCUGACCCAGCCAUGCCGCGUGCAGGAAGACGGUCUUAUGGAUUGUAAACUGCUUUUUUACGGGAAGAACUGUUACUACGUGUAGUAAAU